Molecule: ribosomal RNA, 400 nt
Filed under: phytoplankton environmental sample
Lineage: Eukaryota
Description: partial small subunit ribosomal RNA
Rfam family: Eukaryotic small subunit ribosomal RNA
Source: RNAcentral
AGCUCCAAUAGCGUAUAUUAAAGUUGCUGCAGUUAAAAAGCUCGUAGUUGGAUUUCUGGUGUAAUGCGCCUGUCCCGCCUCGAUUAGAGUGUGUGUGACGGUGUGCGUUUGCCAUCCUUGUACAGAACGUCGCUGCUUCAUUGUUGGCGGCGCGAUGUACAUCAUUUACUUUGAAAAAAUUAGAGUGUUUAAAGCAGGCUUUUGCUAUGAAUACAUUAGCAUGGAGUAAUAAUUUAGGACUUCGGUUCUAUUUUGUUGGUUUCUAGUACUGAAGUAAUGAUUGAUAGGGAUAGUUGGGGGUGCUAGUAUUCCUUGGCCAGAGGUGAAAUUCUUGGAUUCAAGGAAGACUAACUUAUGCGAAAGCAUUCACCAAGGAUGUCUUCUUUAAUCAAGAACGAAA